UCGGUGGGACAUGCCGUGCAAUUUUUUGUUCAAAUUAUGUACAAAUAGAUUGGUCUAAUCCCUCAUUUGUUAACAGACAUUAGUUAAACGAUAAUGCUCAGCAGAGGCAAAUGUGUAGCUCACAGGAUUCACCGCAAUGGCGUUGGAGACCUGCUUUCCUUUUACUGUUUCAGGUGGCAAUUUCUCUACUCUUCAACCUCAACUCUUUUCUUUGUAAAUUACCUGGUUGAUUCUCUAGGGUUCUCCAAAGAAGAAGCAACCUCUACAUAUUCCAAGUUAUCUUCACGGAAAACCACCAGAGAUCCCGAUUUAGUCCUCAAUUUCUUGAAACAAACCGGUUUUGACAACUCCCAGAUCAAAAUAAUGGUCUCUAGAGCACCCAAAUUGCUAUUCUCUGAUGUUUCUAAAACCCUAAAACCCAAAUUCCAGUGCCUUGUGGACCUUGGGCUAUCCGGGUCGGACCUGGUGAAUGUAAUUGCUAAAAAUACAAAAAUUAUGAUAAUAGGUUUAGAUACUCAUAUGAGACCUACCAUUGAUUGUCUUAGGAGAACUUUGGUCACUGACGAAAAUGUAGUUACGGCUAUAAAGAGAAGUCCUAGGUUGCUUUCUUUUGGUGCCCGUCAUAUUAUGGAUACUAAUGUAUUGUUGUUGAAAAACUGUGGUAUUUCUGAUGCGAGAAUUAAAAAAUUUGUGCUCCAAAAUCCUUCUCGUGUUGCACAAAAUCCUGAUCGUGUUAAGUAUUUCUUGCAUAGAGUGGAGAAGGAUUUUCGAGUUCCGCUUGGCUCCCCUAGUUUUCUUUAUGCAUUUCAUGUUUUAUCCGCGCAAAAAAAGUCUACAUUGGAUAGGAAGAUUGCGAUGUUCAAGAGUUUUGGAUGGUCUGAUGAUGAAAUACUCGAGUUAUUCAGGAAGCUACCGCUUUGUAUUGCUCUCUCAGAGGUUAGAAUUGAGAAAGCAUUGAAUCUUUACAUGAAGGAGCUCAGUUUUGAACCUUCUUACUUGGCUUCUCGUCCUGCAUUUUUGGCCUAUAGUCUGGAGAAAAGGGUGAUACCUCGGAUGCAAGUUUUGAAAAUUUUGGAUGAAAAGAAGCUUGAGAGGAGAAAGGUGAGUCUCUAUUAUGUUCUGACCUUAACAGAGUCAAAGUUCAUAGACUAUUUCGUGCCGCCCUACAAGGAUCAGAUACCCGAUCUGUAUGAAUUGCACGAAAAAACUGUAGCUCCUUAACAGUUUUGGUUUACUUUUGGCACUUAAGGUGCUGAGAUCUUUCUAAAAUUGUAAGUAGUAGUUCAAUAAUUUUGUGCUUUUCUUUUUUCAGUUUAUAUUCUAAAAAGCCACAGACGGUGUUGCCAAAAUUCAUUCCUGGAAUUGGGGCAUAGUUUACUGAAACACCUUCCUCGUAUAUACAAGUUUCAACUGCUCUGAGCUAUAUAUGCAAAUUCAACCUUGCCAUUUGAAGCUUUUCGAAUUCAACAGAUCUUGAUAACUGAUUCCCUUUGGCAGUUACCACCAAGUUUGUUCCAGAAGACAAAAUAAAAUACUUUUUCCGCUUUGGCAUUGGUUAUAUGAUAUAAGGGUCUGAUUUUCUCUCUGAUGAAUGACAAAAGGAUGUGUGAUUUCCCAUUGGGAAGUUCUUCUAUCUUGUCUGAGUUUGAUCCUAUAACAUUUUGCGCGAGUUGUUUACUAAUCUAUCCAUUUUAAAGGAACUGGAUUGCAGGAGUUAUGGGUUUAAGUUGCGGAAACCGCCUCUUUCAAAAAUGCAAGGAAACGUUGUGUACAUAAGACCCAAUGUGGUCUGGUCCUUUUCCGGAUCUUGCGCAUGGUGGUAGCUUAGUGCACCGAGCUACCUUUACCUUAGAGUUUAACUCUGUGUCUUAUCUAUAAUGUGAAGUUAACCAUUCUUUUUCAUGUCAUACUUUCUAGUCCUUGAAAUGAUUUUUUGUAUAAUAGUAGUGUCAGGACAAGCUUACGCGAACUUAGACUAUUUCUUCAGGGAUAUAUCACAUACAAGGUGUUCAAUUUUCUUCAGUUGACAUUUGUAAACCUUGUGCUUCAUGGUUUUGUUAAUUUGUCAAGCAUUUGACUAAGAUUUAGUUAUUGUAUCUCCAUUUAAGACA
Nicotiana attenuata is the source of this 2111-nucleotide RNA transcript. It is a transcript of the gene named transcription termination factor MTERF5, chloroplastic-like, with no coding region annotated. Lineage: Eukaryota; Viridiplantae; Streptophyta; Magnoliopsida; Solanales; Solanaceae. The record is from RefSeq and is a predicted model, not a curated record. The transcript is spliced from 2 exons.